GGGGAAUAUUGGACAAUGGGCGAAAGCCUGAUCCAGCCAUGCCGCGUGAGGGAAGAAGGUCUUCGGAUUGUAAACCUUUGUCCUAUGGGACGAAACAAAUGACGGUACCAUAGGAGGAAGCUCCGGCUAACUACGUGCCAGCAGCCGCGGUAAUACGGAGGGUGCAAGCGUUACUCGGAAUCACUGGGCGUAAAGAGCACGUAGGCGGCCUUGCAAGUCAGAUGUGAAAUCCAACGGCUUAACCGUUGAACUGCAUUUGAAACUGCAAGGCUAGAGUAUGGGAGAGGUAGGUGGAAUUCUCGGUGUAGGGGUAAAAUCCGUAGAGAUCGAGAGGAAUACUCAUUGCGAAGGCGACCUGCUGGAACAUUACUGACGCUGAGGUGCGAAAGCGUGGGGAGCAAACA
RNAcentral lists this ribosomal RNA (404 nucleotides) under uncultured Wolinella sp. RNAcentral describes it as "bacterial SSU rRNA". It matches the Rfam family "Bacterial small subunit ribosomal RNA", at positions 356 to 774 of the family's 1533-position model. Lineage: Bacteria; Pseudomonadati; Campylobacterota; Epsilonproteobacteria; Campylobacterales; Helicobacteraceae. The record is from RNAcentral.